Molecule: ribosomal RNA, 458 nt
Filed under: uncultured bacterium
Lineage: Bacteria
Description: partial 16S ribosomal RNA
Rfam family: Bacterial small subunit ribosomal RNA
Source: RNAcentral
CCUACGGGGGGCUGCAGUGAGGAAUAUUGGUCAAUGGGCGAGAGCCUGAACCAGCCAAGUCGCGUGAGGGAGUACUGCCCUAUGGGUUGUAAACCUCUUUUGUCGGGGAGCAAAAGCCGGACGUGUCCGGCUGUGAGAGUACCCGAAGAAAAAGCAUCGGCUAACUCCGUGCCAGCAGCCGCGGUAAUACGGAGGAUGCGAGCGUUAUCCGGAUUUAUUGGGUUUAAAGGGUGCGCAGGCGGAUUUUUAAGUCAGCGGUAAAAUCGUGGGGCUCAACCCCAUCCAGCCGUUGAAACUGGGGAUCUAGAGUGUGCGAGAGGUAUGCGGAAUGCGUGGUGUAGCGGUGAAAUGCAUAGAUAUCACGCAGAACCCCGAUUGCGAAGGCAGCAUACCGGUGCACAACUGACGCUCAGGCACGAAAACGUGGGUAUCGAACAGGAUUAGAUACCCUGGUAGUC